UUGAGAUUUUGAGACUACAACUCGUCUUUCUAUCCCUGUGUGGGAACUCUACUUUUUAAGAAUUUUUUUUUAAAGCCUUUAUCUUAUCUCCUAUAAUCAAUACUGAGUGGGAAGCAGUUCUCUGGCCUUGAAGAGUUUAUAAUCUAGAAGCAGUGAGAAGAAAACAAGCGCAUCAAUCAUCAAGCACUUGCUAGAGGCAAGAAACCAAAGUACAAAGAAUCCCUACUCACCAGGGACUUAGUCAACAAGAUGGGUAUGCAAAGGUAAAACAAAACAAAAAGGCAUCCACACACCAAGUCCCUGCCCUCAAUCAGCUUACAUUCUAAAGGAAGAGGUGACCAGCAACUAAGUACCAAGAUAUAUAAUGUGUAAAUAGAAGAAGGAAGACACUGGAGUUGGGGAGAAGGGGUAGAGACUGCAGGGACCUUUUAAAGAUGGAUCCCAGUUCUCCAAACUCUACUCUUGGAUUUUAAGGCAAGGGCCCUCUGAGAAAUCCAGGCGGAGAUGGGAAACCAGGAAGUUAUCAGUUCACUGAUCAGAUCUACCUUCUCCUCUACUGCUGAGAGGAAGGGGGUAUAUUCUGAACCGAGAGAUAACUGGCUUUUGGGAAACCAGGAAAGUUGAUUGAGUGGGAGGAAGCAGUAAAGCCCAGCUACCAGCCACCAACUAGUCCAACAAAGAUCUAAGAAGAGGAUCAGAUAUUGUACAAUGAUCACCUGUGAAAGACAGUUACUUGCAGCAGUACAAUGAUCUGGACAAUUCUGAUGGACUUAUUGCAAAGAAUGCUCUCUACCUCCAGAGGAAGAACUAUUGGAGUCAGAUGCAGAUCAAAGCAUAUAAUCUUCUACAUGGUUUAGGAUUUUUAUUUUAGAUAAUUAUUCUCUUACAACAAUGGCCAAUAUGGAAUAUUUUUGUAUGAUAAUACAUGCAUAACCCAAAUAAAAUUGCAUACUGUCUCA
This 959-nucleotide long non-coding RNA is filed under the name Monodelphis domestica (gray short-tailed opossum). RNAcentral's name for it is "lncRNA (ENSMODG00000038079.1)". Lineage: Eukaryota; Metazoa; Chordata; Mammalia; Didelphimorphia; Didelphidae. The record is from RNAcentral.